Molecule: ribosomal RNA, 552 nt
Filed under: Streptomyces sp. VITDDK3
Lineage: Bacteria; Bacillati; Actinomycetota; Actinomycetes; Kitasatosporales; Streptomycetaceae
Description: bacterial SSU rRNA
Rfam family: Bacterial small subunit ribosomal RNA
Source: RNAcentral
CGAAUUCCAAGCUUCGCGGCCUAUCAGCUUGUUGAUGGGGUAACGGCCUACCAAGGCGAUUACGGGUAGCCGGCCUGAGAGGGCGACCGGCCACACUGGGACUGAGACACGGCCCAGACUCCUGCGGGAGGCAGCAGUGGGGAAUAUUGCGCAAUGGGCGAAAGCCUGACGCAGCGACGCCGCGUGGGGGAUGACGGCCUUCGGGUUGUAAACCUCUUUUACCACCAACGCAGGCUCCGGGUUCUCUCGGGGUUGACGGUAGGUGGGGAAUAAGGACCGGCUAACUACGUGCCAGCAGCCGCGGUAAUACGUAGGGUCCGAGCGUUGUCCGGAAUUAUUGGGCGUAAAGAGCUCGUAGGCGGCGUGUCGCGUCUGCUGUGAAAGACCGGGGCUUAACUCCGGUUCUGCAGUGGAUACGGGCAUGCUAGAGGUAGGUAGGGGAGACUGGAAUUCCUGGGGCACCGGUGAAAUGCGCAGAUAUCAGGAGGAACACAAGUGGCGAAGGCGGGUCUCUGGGCCUUAACUGAUGCUUCAGACCGGCAACAUGGGUAG